RNAcentral lists this ribosomal RNA (630 nucleotides) under Mandarina sp. A AD-2005. RNAcentral describes it as "partial 12S ribosomal RNA". Lineage: Eukaryota; Metazoa; Mollusca; Gastropoda; Stylommatophora; Camaenidae. The record is from RNAcentral.
GUACAUAAUUUUAGAUAUAUUCACUUAAUAUACUUAAUAAAGUAAAUUACAUUUAAGUCCUUCUUUAUACACUUUUUCAAUGUGUUCUUUUGCUACAUUAAUGUAACUCGCCUAAGCUUCUUGAUGGUCUGCACCUUGAUCUGUAAUAUUAGGUGUUUUUUUCUAAUUUGACAAUAUAUUAUAUAUUGUCAGGAUACGACGGCAUACAAAAUAUCACAUGAAGUUGACUGCCUUGGUGGUUAUCAAUUAUUUGGUAAGUUCCCCUAAAAAUUAAAAUUACCGUCAUGCUAUUUGAGUUUUAAUCUAAAAAAGAUUUUAGUACUCAGUAUUUAAAAAUGGGUAUUGUAUAAAAGGGUAUCUAAUCCUUGUUUAUGAUCAAUAUUUAAAAUAUAUUAGAUUAUAAAAGAAUAUUAAUACUAUUUCACCAAAUAUAUUUGAUUUAUAAGCUAUAAUUUAUAUACUAUUUUCAGUUUAUUACUAUAAAAGUCUGACCGCGACUGCUGGCACUUUUUAAGUCAUAGUAUUUAUAAUUGGUUUAUUCUUACUUUCGUAAAUUUAUAAAUUUUCUUUCCUGGUAUAUUAUCUUUUUAGUUCCAUAAGUAUUCCUAUUUUUUAUAAACAGUUCACCAU